AUUCAUGACUGGGGUGAAGUCGUAACAAGGUAACCGUAGGGGAACCUGCGGUUGGAUCACCUCCUUACCU
This 70-nucleotide ribosomal RNA is filed under the name Enterococcus faecium. Its description in RNAcentral is "partial 16S ribosomal RNA". It matches the Rfam family "Bacterial small subunit ribosomal RNA", at positions 1467 to 1533 of the family's 1533-position model. Lineage: Bacteria; Bacillati; Bacillota; Bacilli; Lactobacillales; Enterococcaceae. RNAcentral also lists the same sequence under 2 other names. The record is from RNAcentral.